RNAcentral lists this ribosomal RNA (330 nucleotides) under uncultured archaeon. RNAcentral's name for it is "bacterial SSU rRNA". It matches the Rfam family "Archaeal small subunit ribosomal RNA", at positions 432 to 760 of the family's 1478-position model. The record is from RNAcentral.
GGAAUAAGGGCUGGGGCAAGACCGGUGCCAGCCGCCGCGGUAACACCGGCAGCUCUAGUGGUAGCCAUUUUUAUUGGGCCUAAAGCGUUCGUAGCCGGUUUGAUAAGUCUCUGGUGAAAUCCUGUAGCUUAACUGUGGGAAUUGCUGGAGAUACUAUUAGACUUGAGGUCGGGAGAGGUUAGCGGUACUCCCAGGGUAGGGGUGAAAUCCUGUAAUCCUGGGAGGACCACCUGUGGCGAAGGCGGCUAACUGGAACGAACCUGACGGUGAGGGACGAAAGCCAGGGGCGCGAACCGGAUAAGAUACCCGGGUAGUCCUGGCCGUAAACGA